This 511-nucleotide ribosomal RNA is filed under the name Clostridium sp. FSAA-3. Its description in RNAcentral is "bacterial SSU rRNA". It matches the Rfam family "Bacterial small subunit ribosomal RNA", at positions 168 to 695 of the family's 1533-position model. The record is from RNAcentral. Lineage: Bacteria; Bacillati; Bacillota; Clostridia; Eubacteriales; Clostridiaceae.
ACCGCAUAAGAUUGUAGUACCGCAUGGUACAGCAAUUAAAGGAGUAAUCCGCUAUGAGAUGGACCCGCGUCGCAUUAGCUAGUUGGUGAGGUAACGGCUCACCAAGGCGACGAUGCGUAGCCGACCUGAGAGGGUGAUCGGCCACAUUGGGACUGAGACACGGCCCAGACUCCUACGGGAGGCAGCAGUGGGGAAUAUUGCACAAUGGGGGAAACCCUGAUGCAGCAACGCCGCGUGAGUGAUGACGGCCUUCGGGUUGUAAAACUCUGUCUUUGGGGACGAUAAUGACGGUACCCAAGGAGGAAGCCACGGCUAACUACGUGCCAGCAGCCGCGGUAAUACGUAGGUGGCAAGCGUUGUCCGGAUUUACUGGGCGUAAAGGGAGCGUAGGUGGAUAUUUAAGUGGGAUGUGAAAUACUCGGGCUUAACCUGGGUGCUGCAUUCCAAACUGGAUAUCUAGAGUGCAGGAGAGGAAAGGAGAAUUCCUAGUGUAGCGGUGAAAUGCGUAAUU